Long non-coding RNA from Solanum stenotomum, 298 nucleotides. RefSeq lists it as uncharacterized. Lineage: Eukaryota; Viridiplantae; Streptophyta; Magnoliopsida; Solanales; Solanaceae. The transcript has 2 exons. The record is from RefSeq and is a predicted model, not a curated record.
AAAAGAAGUAUGUUACCAAGUUCGGAGUAGGCAAGGCGAAUGAACAAAUCAGCCGCCCCCUCCAUGGAGUAUUCUUGAAUAUCAAUUAAGCUUCUAUUCCAAUGCAUACAACCAAUGCCUGUGUAGUAUGAAUAUGCCUUGCAGGAACAGUUACUUAAACAGUCACUUUCACAGUCUUCUUUCGCAGAGGAUACCCAAAUUACAAAAUCUGGUACUCCCAUUGUCUGCAUCUUCAAAAACCCAUCCUUUUUGCCCUUCUCAACAUCAGUUUUGUUCCUUUCACAGUCUAAUGCAGUCC